RNAcentral lists this transfer RNA (56 nucleotides) under Dipodomys ordii (Ord's kangaroo rat). It matches the Rfam family "tRNA", at positions 8 to 63 of the family's 71-position model. From Rfam's summary of the family: Transfer RNA (tRNA) molecules are approximately 80 nucleotides in length. The record is from Rfam by way of RNAcentral. Lineage: Eukaryota; Metazoa; Chordata; Mammalia; Rodentia; Heteromyidae.
UGGCUCAGGGUAGAGCGCUUGCCUUGCAUGCAUGAGGUCUUGGGUUCGAUUCCUCA